UAUUCCAAAGGACACACUUGAGUCAUCUUCUAUAUGAUUUCAAGAGGUGAACCUUCUAGGAAGUUUUACACUCCAUCUUCAUCCAUUCAUCCCAUUUUGUCCUAAACCUUUUCACACGUUGCUUUCAAAACUUGAGAUAAAUAUUGUGCAAACAUCUUCAUGCUUUUAAAUUAAAAACCUGGACCCCAAGUCCUUGACUUUUUCAAACUCCAUUUCAUAGUACUUCUUUUGAAUCAAUCUUAAUCAUACUUUGACCCUCCUUUUGUGAAUAAUCAU
RNAcentral lists this long non-coding RNA (276 nucleotides) under Lathyrus oleraceus (garden pea). Its description in RNAcentral is "Pisum sativum (pea) long non-coding RNA (PSAT_LNC041451)". The record is from RNAcentral. Lineage: Eukaryota; Viridiplantae; Streptophyta; Magnoliopsida; Fabales; Fabaceae.